This 254-nucleotide ribosomal RNA is filed under the name uncultured bacterium. Its description in RNAcentral is "partial 16S ribosomal RNA". It matches the Rfam family "Bacterial small subunit ribosomal RNA", at positions 524 to 776 of the family's 1533-position model. The record is from RNAcentral.
UACGUAGGGGGCAAGCGUUGUCCGGAUUUAUUGGGCGUAAAGAGCGUGUAGGCGGUCAGGUAGGUCCGUUGUGAAAACUCGAGGCUCAACCUCGAGACGCCGAUGGAAACCAUCUGACUAGAGUCCGGAAGAGGAGAGUGGAAUUCCUGGUGUAGCGGUGAAAUGCGCAGAUAUCAGGGAAGAACACCCGUGGCUAAGGCGGCUCUCUAGUACGGUACUGACGCUGAGACGCGAAAGCGUGGGGAGCGAACAGG